This 1613-nucleotide long non-coding RNA is filed under the name Musa acuminata (dwarf banana). RNAcentral describes it as "long non-coding RNA (MACU_LNC009870)". Lineage: Eukaryota; Viridiplantae; Streptophyta; Magnoliopsida; Zingiberales; Musaceae. The record is from RNAcentral.
AGAGCUCAUAUUUGUCAUUUGAUCCUACAAUAGUACCAAAAGAGGAGUAUCUUUUAAUUCAAUCCAAAUUUCAUAGCUAUAAACCUAGUUAGGUUGCCGACACAAGAACAACCAUAUUUCCUACUUAUGCAACUAAACUUUUGGGUGUUUUGACUUAUAAAUCACAAUCUUUGUAAACUUUUAUUUCAUGCUUUUGAGUAAGGCAUGAACCAACAACUAUCUAUCAUCAAACUAUGUUUUUCAUAGCUAUUUAGGCUAUUUGCGGCUGCUUUAAAGCCAGCUAAAUUGUUCUGAACUUUGAUCGUAUGAUACAGUUUAAUCAGAAAAUGACAAAUGCAGGUUUAAAUUGCAGAUUCAUUAGAUGCAGUAGUUUUCUAGUAAAGGAACUACUUCCUACAAAAAAAAUAUGCACAAAAAUAAUUCUAGGAAGGAUCUAGAUGUCAUGUUCAAUAAAUUUUUGCUGAAAAUCUCAAAUGAAUAGGACUUCUGUGCUAAAAACUCUAAAAUUUCUCUUGUGAAAACAUGAUUUGUAGACUCACGGAGUAUUAAAAAGUGGGCUACAACAAUUUUGGAAAAAUAACAGACAAAAUUCAGAAAGAAGAAUAUCAAUAAUGGAUACGAAGUUAAAAUAACAGCAAAUUUUGUACAUAAUUAAACAUGAGUGAAGUUCUAAAAUAACAUAAAGACCAACUUUGAAUAAAAUUACCAAAUUAUACACUUUUGCAAAAAUAUCUCAAUAUAGAUAAGCUAAAAAGACAUUAUUCAGGAAGAACUAAUCAAAUUUGGAAAGAACAAGGUCGUCUGCAAAAAACAGAGUUGGAUUACUGCAUAUUGUAAUAAAAGAUGCCACCUUCCAUGAUGACAUUGAUGCUAAUAAAUACCAGAGCUCAUCCUUGUCAUUUGAUCCUACAAUAGAAUCAAAAGAGGAGUAUCUUUUAAUUCAAUCCAAAUUUCAUGGCUAUAAACCUAGUUAGGUUGCCGACACAAGAACAACCAUAUUUCCAACUUAUGCAACUAAACUUUUGGGUGUUUUGACUUAUAGAUCACAAUCUUUGUAAACUUUUAUUUCAAGCUUUUGAGUAAGGCAUGAACCAACAACUAUCUAACAUCAAACUAAGUUUUUCAUAGCUAUUUAGGCCAUCUGCGGCUGCUUUAAAGCCAGCUAAACUGUUCUGAACUUUGAUCUUAUUAUACAUUUUAAUCAGAAAAUGACAAAUGCAGGUUUAAAUUGCAGAUUCAUGAGAUGAAGUAGUUUUCUAGUUAAGGAUCUACUUCCUAUAAAAAAAAUAUGCACAAAAAUAAUUCUAGGAAGGAUCUAGAUGUCAUGUUCAAUAAAUUCUUGCUGAAAAUCUCACAUGAAUUGGACUUCUGUGCUAAAAACUCUAAAAUUUCUCUUGUGAAGGCAAUUGUGUUAUACCAGAUUAAUUACCAUACAAUAACAUGAUUUGUAGACUCACGGAGUAUUAAAAAGUGGGCUACAACAAUUUUGAAAAAAUAACAGACAAAAUUCAGAAAGAAGAAUAUCAAUUAUGGAUACGAAGUUAAAAUAACAGCAAAUUUUGUACAUAAUUAAACAUGAGUGAAGUUCCAAAAGAACAUAAAGACCAACUUUG